GAGGCUGCCCGUUCUUCAUCUUUUGCUUGCAGAAUCCUAUACACGUGUUUGCUGGAAGGAGAGAAUGAUGGAAAACCGGGCUCUUCCAUUUGCUUCCAGAACAGAUUUCUCAAGCUCUCUCACUCACAAACCGCGAACUCCUAGUCUCCGUCAGAAGAAAAGCUUGGCUCCCGUUCUGAUUUGAGGAUAUUUUAAACCUAGAAAAGCUUGGGUUUCCUGGCUUUGCUGAAAAUUGGAAUUCGUGGCGCUAUUGUAUCUGAUGUUUGAGGCUUUGGUGCACAAGGUGGUUCAACAGAGAGGACAGGGCGGCUCUGCAUUUUGUGGAGGCAACUAGCAUAGAGAUUGUAGUGAGCAAAGACCAGAGCAAGGAGAAUGUGACCCGAUUAGCUCCAAGCUUGCGGAACCCAGAAGAGUCUCGAAUUCAGUUUCCACUCUCACUGAAAAUGAAACUUGGUGCUAUUAAGCUAUCAUCGUGAGCCCUCAGAAUUCAGGUUAGAUCCCAUUUCAAUUUUCACUUCCGUAGCUUGAAGUUGAAACGCAGCCAUGAGCCACCAGCUUUCCUUCACCAGAAUCAGUGAAUCACCACCACCCAGCUUCACAAAUCAACACCCAGCCACCGGCGCCACGCCAAAGCAUCCUUCACGAAUCGUCUCCGACACGAUUCCUUCACGAAUCGUCUCCGACACGAAUCGCUGGACAGAACUCUCCAGCCUUCCUUCACGAUUCCUUCACGAAUCGUCUCCGACACGGCGACACUUGCGAGUUGCGAUCUCUCUCUCUCGGGCAAUUUUCCCUCACAGACAGAACUCUCAAUCUAGCACUGAGUCUGAGUCUCACUCUCACCCAAAUUAGAAUACCAGCACCAAGCAGCAGCGUCGACCUCAGACUCGUCACAAGGUUCUUCACAUAAAUCAGCUCUCAUGCUUCUGUAAACGGUGUAGUGCCCACUUCCAGCUCUUCCAAAGUGCUCCACAAUGGCAACAAGACGGUAGAGGCAAGUACUUGAAGGAACCACUUUGCAACUCUCAGUCAACUGCAAUAGAUUUUUGAACCAUUGACGAGGAGACGCUUUGUAUUAAUCUCCAGAAACUCGAAAGUUCACGGUUGAGCUUCACCGAUCUCUCUUCAAUUGUUCUCGAACUCGUCAUGUCUCGCUCUCAGUUUUUGGUGCCUCACGGAUUCCGGCUAGCUCCGCAGACCAUAGAAAUGAUCAUUCAUCAGGCCUGUAUUUUGAUUGCAUCCUCUCAGUUUUUGUCUCUGUCUCAGUUUACACCGGCUCACUAAUUCCGGCUGCGUCUGUACUCGUCAAACCACAGAAAACACCUGAAGUCAAUUUUCUGAAGGUUGUUUUGCUCCUCGGGUUUGCUGCUCAGAAGAUCAAAUUGUCCAGCAUUUAACUAAUAGGCAAGUACCUUUGAGGUGCAAGGAGAAGAAAGUAAGGUGUGUGAAUCACCUAGAAAAAAAGGUGUGACCGUUUGAGACCCAGAAACAGAAACAGUGGUGUUCCAGUCCCUUUGGAGACUGUCGGUGACAUCUGUGUAGCCAUCAAAGCGUUUACGAACGAGCAGAAGGCUAUUGAAAAUGGGAUUCCGUCUGAGGAGUUGGAAGAGGAAGAUAUGGCUAAUGGGGAAGAGAAAAGCAGUGACUUCUAUGCAGUUUUGGGGUUGGAAAAGAAAUGCAGACUCGGAGCUCAGAGAAACUCCAUAUUUUGUUUUUAUUCCUUGCAUUCCUUUUCACUUAAUUUUAACUAUAAUUUUACUUUUUCUUGGGUGAUUUCAUGUAUAUGAUUAUAUGAUUCUUCUCUUUUGCUUAACAUGGCAUAUUUAGUAGUAACUACGCAUUUCAGUCAUAGAAGUUUCUAACAUGGGGAUUGGUUAAUGGUAUGCAACACAUAAUUUCGAAAAGUUGCAAGGUUUGUUCUUAUACUGUACAUGAGUUUUCUUUGUAAUUUAUACAUACAAUGGUUAAUAUUUGUAGCUGUGAUUGACUUGUCCUACAAGUUUAGACUCAAUGCAGGUCUGAACGAAGUGAGGCACUACUUAAAGGAAUUGUUUCCAAGACCAAGACCUUCGACUUAUUAAUACAACCAUCAUGGGAUUCUCGAAACCAAAAGGGGUAAUUCUGAAGUUGGUUCUUCAAUUGAUGAAUGUUAAGGUCCGAGUAUAUAGCUCAUAUCAAGAGCCAAUAUCUGAUUAAUAUUGUUCUACAUUUUCUGGCUUUGCUUUUCAUCAUCAGAUGCAUAGGAGCGAGAAGAUGGAAGACCCCAGUCAAGGCAGUAAGCCAAGUCCCCAGACUGCUCCAAGCGCUAGGAGGUCAUCCUUGAGCAACCUGGCCUGAGGAUUUUACCAAAAUGGCAUGAAAAUUCAAGCUCGGGCGGUACCCCCAUUUCAUCUCUCACCCAGCUACGCGAUUCAUCAUCUGCUUUAUUUCUCAUACAAAAACAUUUCUGUAACAAUCAACAGUUCAAAUGGUAAAAGUGGCAACAAAGGCAAUUUGGAGCAUUUUACAGCAAUUUUGGGCUUGGAAUGGAUAUCACAUGCAUGGAACGAGGUGAAUGGACUUUUUGAAGAUCAAAAGAGGUUAGGAAUGUGCUAAAGAGUUGAAGAAAUUAAUUCAAGACAUAGAAGAUAAGGAAUCAACUAAAGAGAAGGAACAUUAUCCAAAACCUUAUCUUAUCUGAUCCUAACCUUAUCCUAAUCCUAUUCUACCUAAAUUCCAGCUGCGAGGGGGAGUUAUUUUCAUAUUAGGACAUCUAAAAACCUGAUUUCUUGAAGGCCUUACUAUUUCCUAAAAGGGUGCCGCAUACCUUAUCCUUUGUCCCUUGUCCUUCUAGAAACCUUUUACAAUACCCCCUUUCUAGAAGCCUAGAAAUCUGGCACACCCUGGAUCCUUGUCCCUGUUGGUUUGUGCUGUUCAAUCCCUUUCCAAUACAACCUUUGGAGUGCCAAAUCCUCCUCCAAAACUAUCUUAUGUCGUGUGCCCUCAGCCUAUAAAUACACCACAAUGCUGCACCAUUCAGAGGACCACACACAAUAGCCUAAAAUCAGAAAAACACACAUAGUGCUGCAACUUUGCAAGCAAGGAAGGAGAAGAAGAAGCUUGGAGUCGUGCCUACCAUCCAAGGCCUUUGGAAUGCUUGAGCGUUUCUAAGUGUAUUCUAUCCUUAGUUUUAGUUCAAUGUUUGUUUUAAUUUGGUUUUCAGUUAUGAUAGACAUGUGGAACUAAUUUCGUUUUA
Long non-coding RNA from Pyrus x bretschneideri (Chinese white pear), 3235 nucleotides. RefSeq lists it as uncharacterized. The transcript has 16 exons. NCBI's taxonomy places the organism in Eukaryota, Viridiplantae, Streptophyta, Magnoliopsida, Rosales, Rosaceae. The record is from RefSeq and is a predicted model, not a curated record.